Molecule: long non-coding RNA, 3374 nt
Filed under: Astyanax mexicanus (Mexican tetra)
Lineage: Eukaryota; Metazoa; Chordata; Actinopteri; Characiformes; Acestrorhamphidae
Description: lncRNA (ENSAMXG00005001561.1)
Source: RNAcentral
CAAAUAAGCAAGCAUUUAACAACUUCAGUGUCGUUUUUAUGUUUAAUAUGGAUUUUAAUGUGCCGCUAACUUACUUGAGACAUACUUGAGCCUAGAAUUUCUAAAAUAUAACCUCUGACAUGUAUGACAAUCAUGUGAUUUUCAUUCAAAACAAACAUGUAUAUAUAUUUAAAAAAAUGGCCUAAGAGAUUCUAAGAGAUAUACAAGAGAGUAUAUACAGUAUUUACAGCAUCUGUUACCCUUUUUAAGUUCAUUACAGAGCGCUUUUAAUUCUAUGCCAGGUAUUUAUUAAUUUAUUUGCUCCUUGUCUAAAAUUCAUUUGAAUUGUACAGUUUAAAAUAUUUGCUUUGUAGAAAGUGAGGAAUGCAAUUAAUUAAUAAUUAUUUUUUUAAUCGCCAGACAGCACUAAUUGUAAUGUGUUUUUAUGUAGGUGGAGGAUGAUAUGGAGGUAUGGAGUGAAGAGGAACCUGAGGACAGUGUGUUCACACCUGCUGAUGACAAGAUGGAGCAAGAUGACCACAUACCUUUCAUCACAGGACUUUUAUUUGUUCUUGCAAGAACCAAUGAGACGCAUUGCAGCAAGCAUUCCAUCUUCUCUUUACAUGUUUCGCAAGAGACUGAGCAUGAAUAGAGAUGAUUUUGCUCAAUAUGUAGUAUGCCCCGUUUGUAGCUCAGUUUACAGUCACGAGAAUGCAGUUCUGAACAUACAUGAUGGAAGGGGUAAAAUUGUUCGAAAGAAAUCUGCAAAAUGCUCUCAUGUUGACUUUCCAGGCCACAAACACAAAAAGUUACGGAAACAGUGUGGUGCUUUGCUGAUGAAAACUGUCAUUGGGAAAGGUGAAAGAGAGUUUCUGUACCCAAAACGGACAUUUUGUUACCGAAGCAUAUCAAAAUCUUUAGAGGACAUGUUGCAGAGGCCUGGAUUCAUUGAAUCAUGUGAACGCUGGCGAGAAAGAGAAGUAAAAGAAGGGAUGUACACGGAUGUUUAUGAUGGGCAAAUUUGGAAACAGUUUAUGUAUGUCCAGGGUAGGCCAUUCCUAGCAGAAGCUAAUAAUAUGGGAUUGAUGCUCAAUGUUGACUGGUUCCAGCCGUAUAAAAGCAUUCAUGAUUCUGUUGGUGUCAUGUAUCUAGUGGUGAUGAAUUUACCUAGAGAGGAGCGAUUCAAAGAAGAAAACAUAAUAGUAGCUGGAAUAAUCCCUGGACCACAUGAACCCAAAAAGCAUAUAAAUGGAUUCUUAAAUGUACUUGUUGGUGAUCUGUGCAAACUGUGGCACGGUCAGUACCUUAAGGACAGUUCACUAAUGGGGAAGCAACUAUACCGUGCAGCCAUUCUUUGUCUGGCAAGUGAUAUACCAGCAGCCAGGAAAACUGGAGGUUUUUUGGGCCACAUGGCCACCAAAGGCUGUAGCAAGUGUUUGAAAGAUUUCUUACGAACUUCAGAUAACAAAGUGUGCUAUGCAGGAUUUAAUGAUGAAAGUUGGCCCUCACGGAAUCAUAGAGACCAUUGUGAAUACGCUAAAAAAGCAAGGGCAGCAGAAAACAAAGCUGAGAAAGAAAGAAUUGAGGCCUUGUACGGUGCUAGAUACAGUUCUCUUCAGGAACUGCCUUACUUUGAUUGUGUUCGUAUGCACAUUAUUGAUCCUAUGCACAACUUGCUGGAAGGCACAGCUAAACGUGUAAUGCAGGUUUGGAGGGAGACAGGAGUGAUCUCAAAAGAUGGGUUUUCUGCUCUCCAGUCCCGUGUUGAUGCCAUGAGAAUUCCUUCUCAUGUAGAUUCUGGUAUUCCUUCUAAGUUAGAGGCAGCUUUUGAGGGUUUCACAGCAUCACAGUGGAAAAUGUGGGUUUGUGUAUAUUCAUUGUUUGCACUGAAGGAUAUUAUUAGUGAGGAACAUUACAACAUUUGGAAAGUGUUUGUCUCGGCCACUAAAGUACUUUGCAGUCGGGUUAUUCAAAAUGAUGACCUAGAAGAUGCACAUCGAUGUUUAAAGUUAUUUUGCAAUUUCUUUGAAAGAAAAUAUGGCAAAGAAUGGUGUACCAUGAAUAUGCAUUUACACCUCCAUUUAAAAUCAUGCAUUCAGGAUUAUGGACCAGUGCAUGGGUUCUGGUGUUUUUCUUUUGAGAGGGCCAAUGGUGUGUUAGGAGAUUAUCAUUCAAACAACCGUGACUCAGAACUCUGCAUGAUGAGGAAAUGGCUGACUGACUGGCAAGUUGCUGGCAAAUGUUCACUAAGUGAUCCGUUUUUUGGUGACAUUCAUUGCUUUUUUAAUGGAAGCUAUCAGCUCAAGGCAGUCAUAACAUCUAAACAGUUGGAAACCCUGAGUCAUCUUUCUGAUGAUUCCAUACUUGGUAAUUACGAGUACAGUGACAAUUUGGAGACUUUACUUCCACCAGUUAAAAAAGCCACAAUGUCAUUGGAAGAAAAUGCUGCACUCUUGACUAUGUUUGAGGUGAUGUAUCCCAGCAGCACAAUUCAUCGUGUUUCCUUUCAUUACUAUUAUUGCGACAGAUAUGUCUUAGCAGGUGAUGUAUAUUCACGGUCAGAUUACAGAACAGGGAAUUCCUCCUGUGUUUGUGCAAAGUGGUUUAGUCACAGAGAAAUAACAGGAGAGCCAGUCAUAGAUCCAAGAGCAUCUCAGCAUCCUGGGCAUAUUGCAAACAUCUGGAAAGUGUUUCUCUUUGUUAAAAACCAUGGUUCAUUACGAAAGGCAGAACACGUAGUUGCUCAAGUUCAGUGGUUCAAAGAACAUGGGGACAAAUAUUUCUUUGGAUUGAACACUUCUUGCACUGUUUGGGACACAAAUUACGAACCUUGGUCACAUGCAUCUUUCAUUCCAAUGAAAAGAAUCUCAAGUCAGUGUGCAUUCUGUACAUACAAAAUAAAAUUUUCUAGGUUCAGGGAGGAAAUAGUCAAUGUUGUUAUACCAGUUGCUUCAGCAAAAUGUGUCUAAAAAUCAACUGGGGAAGAUUUUUAUAUUUAAAAAACAUGAAUCAUUAUUUGUCAAUGUAUAUUAACUUAACAGGUGAAUUGGAGAUGCUCUGUCUGCCCUGUUAUGUAUUGGUGGCCUUUCCAGGGUGUAUACUCCCUCCUGUUAUAUGAGAGAUUUUUAGCCUCUCCUGUGUAGUUGCCAUCUGUGAAGUUGCCAUUUGGAGAUACUAGUAUUUCAUUGGACAGCGACAAUAUGGUCAAUUUUUUUAAACAUAAGUUGUUUGUGUCAGUUUAAGCAAGUAUGUUUUCAUGAGCUUUAACUGCUUUUUCUAAUAUGUUAACAUUGCAUUAUCAAUUGUAUUUAAAUCUCUGUUGUAUUGACUAUCAAGAAAACCUUUUGUUUGUGCAAAUAAUUCUGAGUAAAUACACAAUAAAAUGUAUCCAAAGA